UACGGAGGGUGCAACCGUUGCUCGGAAUCAUUGGGCGUAAAGCGCGUGUAGGCGGCAUGUUAAGUCGAGUGUGAAAGCCCUGGGCUCAACCCAGGAAGUGCGCUCGAUACUGGCACGCUAGAGUACGGGAGAGGGUAGCGGAAUUCCCGGUGUAGAGGUGAAAUUCGUAGAUAUCGGGAGGAACACCAGUGGCGAAGGCGGCUACCUGGACCGAUACUGACGCUGAUGCGCGAAAGCCAGGGGAGCGAACGGG
Molecule: ribosomal RNA, 253 nt
Filed under: uncultured bacterium
Lineage: Bacteria
Description: partial 16S ribosomal RNA
Rfam family: Bacterial small subunit ribosomal RNA
Source: RNAcentral